This 509-nucleotide ribosomal RNA is filed under the name Scheffersomyces shehatae. Its description in RNAcentral is "eukaryotic LSU rRNA". It matches the Rfam family "Eukaryotic large subunit ribosomal RNA", at positions 121 to 648 of the family's 3401-position model. Lineage: Eukaryota; Fungi; Ascomycota; Pichiomycetes; Serinales; Debaryomycetaceae. The record is from RNAcentral.
UCUGGCACCUUCGGUGUCCGAGUUGUAAUUUGAAGAAGGUAACUUUGGAGUUGGCUCUUGUCUAUGUUCCUUGGAACAGGACGUCACAGAGGGUGAGAAUCCCGUGCGAUGAGAUGUCCAACUCUAUGUAAAGUGCUUUCGAAGAGUCGAGUUGUUUGGGAAUGCAGCUCUAAGUGGGUGGUAAAUUCCAUCUAAAGCUAAAUAUUGGCGAGAGACCGAUAGCGAACAAGUACAGUGAUGGAAAGAUGAAAAGAACUUUGAAAAGAGAGUGAAAAAGUACGUGAAAUUGUUGAAAGGGAAGGGUUUGAGAUCAGACUUGGUAUUUUGUAUGUCUUGCUUUCGGGUGGGGCCUCUGCAGUUUACUGGGCCAGCAUCGGUUUGGACGGUAGGAUAAUGACAUUGGAAUGUGGCACUACUUCGGUGGUGUGUUAUAGACUUUGUUGAUACUGCCUGUCUAGACCGAGGACUGCGUCUUUGACUAGGAUGCUGGCAUAAUGAUCCUAAACCGC